AUUGAACGCUGGCGGCAGGCCUAACACAUGCAAGUCGAGCGAGCGGCGGACGGGUGAGUAAGGUAUGGGGAUCUGCCCGAGAGAGGGGGACAACUAAUGGAAACUGUGACCACUACCGCAUACUAUCGGAUGAACCUAUCUGGGAUUAGCUAGUAGUGGGGGUAAAGGCUCACCUAGGCGACGAUCUCGAGCUGGUCUGAGAGGAUGAUCAGCCACACUGGGACUGAGACACGGCCCAGACUCCUACGGGAGGCAGCAGUGGGGAAUAUUGCACAAUGGGCGCAAGCCUGAUGCAGCCAUGCCGCGUGUAUGAAGAAGGCCUUAGGGUUGUAAAGUACUUUCAGCUGGGAGGCGUUACCCGCAGAAGAAGCACCGGCUAACUCCGUGCCAGCAGCCGCGGUAAUUC
RNAcentral lists this ribosomal RNA (406 nucleotides) under uncultured bacterium. RNAcentral describes it as "partial 16S ribosomal RNA". It matches the Rfam family "Bacterial small subunit ribosomal RNA", at positions 30 to 526 of the family's 1533-position model. The record is from RNAcentral.